CCUACGGGUGGCUGCAGUGGGGAAUAUUGGACAAUGGGGGCAACCCUGAUCCAGCCAUGCCGCGUGUGUGAAGAAGGCCCUCGGGUUGUAAAGCACUUUCAGUGAGGAAGAACGCCUGGUGGUUAAUACCCAUCAGGAAAGACAUUACUCACAGAAGAAGCACCGGCUAACUCCGUGCCAGCAGCCGCGGUAAUACGGAGGGUGCGAGCGUUAAUCGGAAUUACUGGGUGUAAAGCGCGCGUAGGUGGCUUGAUAAGCCGGUUGUGAAAGCCCCGGGCUCAACCUGGGAACGGCAUCCGGAACUGUCAAGCUAGAGUGCAGGAGAGGAAGGUAGAAUUCCCGGUGUAGCGGUGAAAUGCGUAGAGAUCGGGAGGAAUACCAGUGGCGAAGGCGGCCUUCUGGACUGACACUGACACUGAGGUGCGAAAGCGUGGGUAGCAAACAGGAUUAGAUACCCCAGUAGUC
Molecule: ribosomal RNA, 465 nt
Filed under: Vreelandella stevensii
Lineage: Bacteria; Pseudomonadati; Pseudomonadota; Gammaproteobacteria; Oceanospirillales; Halomonadaceae
Description: partial 16S ribosomal RNA
Rfam family: Bacterial small subunit ribosomal RNA
Source: RNAcentral